RNAcentral lists this ribosomal RNA (433 nucleotides) under uncultured bacterium. Its description in RNAcentral is "partial 16S ribosomal RNA". It matches the Rfam family "Bacterial small subunit ribosomal RNA", at positions 29 to 507 of the family's 1533-position model. The record is from RNAcentral.
AAUGAACGCUGGCGGCAUGCCUAACACAUGCAAGUCGAACGAGACCUUCGGGUCUAGUGGCGCACGGGUGCGUAACGCGUGGGAACCUGCCCUUAGGUUCGGAAUAACUCCCCGAAAGGGGUGCUAAUACCGGAUAAUGUCUUCGGACCAAAGAUUUAUCGCCUUUGGAUGGGCCCGCGUUGGAUUAGCUAGUUGGUAGGGUAAAAGCCUACCAAGGCGACGAUCCAUAGCUGGUCUGAGAGGAUGAUCAGCCACACUGGGACUGAGACACGGCCCAGACUCCUACGGGAGGCAGCAGUGGAGAAUAUUGGACAAUGGGCGAAAGCCUGAUCCAGCAAUGCCGCGUGAGUGAUGAAGGCCUUAGGGUUGUAAAGCUCUUUUACCCGGGAUGAUAAUGACAGUACCGGGAGAAUAAGCUCCGGCUAACUCCGUG